Molecule: ribosomal RNA, 253 nt
Filed under: uncultured bacterium
Lineage: Bacteria
Description: partial 16S ribosomal RNA
Rfam family: Bacterial small subunit ribosomal RNA
Source: RNAcentral
UAUGUAGGGUGCGAGCGUUAAUCGGAAUUACUGGGCGUAAAGCGUGCGCAGGCGGUUUUGUAAGUCAGAUGUGAAAUCCCCGGGCUUAACCUGGGAACUGCGUUUGAAACUACAAGGCUAGAGUGUAGCAGAGGGGGGUGGAAUUCCACGUGUAGCAGUGAAAUGCGUAGAGAUGUGGAGGAACACCGAUGGCGAAGGCAGCCCCCUGGGUUAACACUGACGCUCAGGCACGAAAGCGUGGGGAGCAAACACG